This is a long non-coding RNA of Ictalurus punctatus (channel catfish), 596 nucleotides long. Lineage: Eukaryota; Metazoa; Chordata; Actinopteri; Siluriformes; Ictaluridae. The record is from Ensembl.
GCCAACUGGAGGAGCAGAGACUGUGUUUGUCACGGAGAAAAGAGCUGUGGACUUCGCGGAUGACUGUCUGUGUGUGAAUCUUCUUCUUAUCUUGCAAUGACCCUGCGUGACUGUGACCCCAUUGUUGAUCAAGGUACCAUUUUUUUGUUCUUGCCCUCGUGAUGAAGCAGCCAUUUUGUUUGAGGCUUCUACGCACUCCAGCUACAUUCAGGCCUGCAACGGGGAACUUGGGUUUUCAGAAGAACCUGUAGCAUUUUUAAACAGACUUGAAGAGAAGAGGUUCUUCUACAGAGAUUUAAGGACAUCACAGUUACUUACAUUCAGAGGAAACAGGUAAGAGCUGCUAAUUGGAGGAGAGGAGCAACUUACAAACCCUUGCACCUCAUUAUCCACCUUUCUCCCAGGGAGACAAAGAACAUUCCACUCAUGUUAGCCACACACACACACACACACACACACACACACACACACACACACACACACACACACACACAUAGACACGCACUCAAUAAUAUCUCUGCAUCAUUUUUCUUUUUUUUAACCACACCCAAGUUCAUACCCAACUCAGGCUAUUGAUUCUGACAGUUACACAGGCC